This is a small RNA of 150 nucleotides. It matches the Rfam family "Listeria sRNA rli48". The record is from Rfam.
GGCAUGUUAUAAUUUAAUAGAGGGAGGGGAAUUUCACCCCUCUGAAUUUACUUGUCCUUGUUUUUAUCUUUCUUGCGUAAUGUUAUCAGCGCUACUGCAAGAGUGAUAAUUUCGAGGACUGUUUUUAUUUCCUCUAAAACAUCCUUCACU